GGGCUCGCGGCCUAUCAGCUUGUUGGUGAGGUAAUGGCUCACCAAGGCGUCGACGGGUAGCCGGCCUGAGAGGGUGACCGGCCACACUGGGACUGAGACACGGCCCAUAUACAUACGGGAGGCAGCAGUGGGGAAUAUUGCACAAUGGGCGCAAGCCUGAUGCAGCAACGCCGCGUGAGGGAUGACGGCCUUCGGGUUGUAAACCUCUUUUAGCAGGGAAGAAGCGAGAGUGACGGUACCUGCAGAAAAAGCACCGGCUAACUACGUGCCAGCAGCCGCGGUAAUACGUAGGGUGCAAGCGUUAUCCGGAAUUAUUGGGCGUAAAGAGCUCGUAGGCGGUUUGUCGCGUCUGCUGUGAAAUCUGGGGGCUCAACCCCCAGCCUGCAGUGGGUACGGGCAGACUAGAGUGCGGUAGGGGAGAUUGGAAUUCCUGGUGUAGCGGUGGAAUGCGCAGAUAUCAGGAGGAACACCGAUGGCGAAGGCAGAUCUCUGGGCCGUAACUGACGCUGAGGAGCGAAAGGGUGGGGAGCAAACAGGCUUAGAUACCCUGGUAGUCCACCCCGUAAACGUUGGGAACUAGUUGUGGGGUCCAUUCCACGGAUUCCGUGACGCAGCUAACGCAUUAAGUUCCCCGCCUGGGGAGUACGGCCGCAAGGCUAAAACUCAAAGGAAUUGACGGGGACCCGCACAAG
RNAcentral lists this ribosomal RNA (692 nucleotides) under Microbacterium profundi. RNAcentral's name for it is "bacterial SSU rRNA". It matches the Rfam family "Bacterial small subunit ribosomal RNA", at positions 227 to 929 of the family's 1533-position model. The record is from RNAcentral. Lineage: Bacteria; Bacillati; Actinomycetota; Actinomycetes; Micrococcales; Microbacteriaceae.